Molecule: non-coding RNA, 226 nt
Organism: Paramuricea clavata
Lineage: Eukaryota; Metazoa; Cnidaria; Anthozoa; Malacalcyonacea; Plexauridae
Source: the annotation of a GenBank genome assembly
CCAUUAUACUCAUAGAUAUCUUAUUUACGCUAGAUAGCGCAUCUCUUUUAGUAAAAUUGAAGCCAAGAAUAUUCCAGCGGUUACUCCCAUUUGAAUAGAUGGCGGCCAUGUUGGGAGUUCCCACUCGCUAAUAAACGCUUAAAAAACAACAAUAACCUUCAUCAUUUGAAUAGUUUAUAAAUGUAUUUGGAAUAGAUUUAACUUAAUGUUUAAGUUACCUGUUUAA